Podarcis lilfordi (Lilford's wall lizard) is the source of this 3685-nucleotide non-coding RNA. Lineage: Eukaryota; Metazoa; Chordata; Lepidosauria; Squamata; Lacertidae. The record is from the annotation of a GenBank genome assembly.
UCUGUUCUCAUCCUGAAGCAACGUUCUUAACCUGAAGCAAUAUUUCUGGGUUAGCGGAGUCUGUAACCUGAAGCGUAUGUAACCUGAAGCGUAUGUAACCCAAGGUACCACUGUACUCAAAAUUGACUUGUGGGGGUUGUCAGCCAAAUUGCUCUCCCUGAGGGACACAUCUGGACACUUGUCCUUACCUUUAAAUCAGAAAUAUGUGGUGUUACAAAACAGAGACAGUUCUGGAUAUUGAGCACUUGCAUUUUAAUAACCACCUCGCAAAGAGUUUUGUGCUUUCAGAUGGCAUGCACAAACAUUAAAGGAAACUUUUGUGUUCACCUGUGUUUUCUUUACUUCCUCUCCAGAGGUUUGAUCUGCCCUCAGUAUGCCCACAGGAGUAUCCUUUGGUAGGUUGGAAGCUGAAUACAAAAAGCAUAUUUCUCUGAUGUUCUAGCUGAAUAGAGGAUUUGAAUUUAAGGUACAUUUCAACAAUAGUUCGUUUCCAGGGAGCAAUUUUGCAAGAGGUCUUAUGGCAAUUCCACACCGUUUUAAAAAAUAAAAGGCUGACAUUAUUGACUGUGCUGGGCCACAGCUGUGGAUCAUUGUAUGAAAUCCCUUUUAGAACGGGAGUAUGUUGGGCAUGAGAUAAACAGAAUGUGUGUUUUGUAAUUUGCACCUCUCUUUUAAACCAUAGCUCCUGUUCAGGUUUCCUGCUAGACUUCUAUGUCCGCUUUCAGGAUACUCUAAGGUUUUCUCCCCAAAAGGCAGUUCCCACUGAGUGUACCCAGUCUUCAUUGGGCAGUUCCCUUCCCCACGCUUAGAUUCCCACCCACUCUUUUUGGGGGGUAAUUCUACAAACCUUGAGAUCCCCCAGAACCUACUGAUAUCUCCUCUUGUUCAUGGCUGAUACCUAGAGAGCCACAGUUGGAGAAUGAGUUUGCUGUUAGUAUAUAGGAGUCUCUGAACACAAGAAGAGGCUGCUGGAUCAAACCAAAGGGCCUAACAGUCCAACAUCCUGUUUUCACAGUAGCGGAAAGCCUGAAAGCAGGACCUGAGUGACACAACAACUGGUAUUCAGCCUCCAGCGGUGGUGGUAGUACACUCGGAUAGAGAAUGGUAUUCCAAGUAGCACAUUUCAGGCUACACUCUGCUCAGACAACUGUCAGGGCUGGAGUCAGAUGCAGGUCAGCACGAAGAGGCAGAGUCAGUUGUCAGUGAAGUUAACUCUUUAUUCAAGGAAAUGGCAUAAGAACAGCUUAAUUUAUGAGAAACUUGCAUUAAGAACGCUGCAAACCCGGAAGUAGGUGUUUUGGUUUGUGAACUUUGCCUUGGAAGCAGAACAUGUUUCGUUUCCUGCUGAGUGUAAAUUGAAUCCCCCACCGCUAUGGGAAAGCACGCCUUGGUUUAAGAACGCUUUGGUUUAAAAACGGAAUUCCGGAACGGAUUAAGUUCGUAAGCCAAGGUACCACUGUACAACUCUGCAAUACUUCCUAGUAGGUCUUGCCAAGACUAAAGGUCCUUCCACACCUCUCUAAGGCGCCUCCUCUCCCAGAUGUUUUCCAAGCAGUCUCAAACUGCAUCUGCACACCUCUGGUCUCUGUGUUCUGCCGUCGUCAUUAUUCUGCACGUUAUUUUAGAUCAAGGGGAGCUUGUCGCAACAGGAGAGGGCGAGUCCUUGGUUUCUACAGCAGCCUCUUAACCCACCUCCUUUGCUUCAGCCUCGGAGUCUGAUCUGCUCCUUGUCACCAGCUCUCCCAGCUCACUAAACCCUGUUGCCCCUUCAGCAUCCAGCCUCUCCUCCCAAUCUUCUCCCUCUGACCUCUCCUCAGUGUCCCACCACUGAUCCCUUGGCUCUGAGCCUUCCUCCUCUGGGGUUUCCCUGGGGGGUUCCUUGGCUGGUGUCUCCCUCCACUCCUCUUUGUCCAGCCAGUCCUUGACAGCAACACAUGGAGAAAAUGUCUACUGGCUCCUGCCCCAGCCUUCUUGCAUUAAAUAGGGAGGACCAAAGGGAGCUUCUGAGCACAUUCAGCUGAAUGCAUUUAGAAGCCCCCCAGUGAUUGGGAGUCCUGAGAAGGAAAAGCCUCCCAAUUGUGUGGUGGCUUCCAGCUACUUUCAGCUGAAUGUGCUUAGAGGGCUUGGCCUUCAGACCCUGGGACUCAACCUGGAAAAGGGGUGAUGACACUGGGGCUAGGGCAGGGGUCCCCAAACUAAGGUCCGCAGGCCGGAUAAGGCCUGAGGGACUUGUUUAUCCGGCCCACAGCAACCCCCGCCGCCCACUCUUUCCGGCGCUGCGCUGAGCAGCUGCCCACUUCCGGGUCUGAGGAGCACCAGAAACAGUUUGUGCGCACGCGCAAGUGUUGUUUGUGCAUGUGCAAGCGUGCACAUCUGGGUCGGAGGAGGCCCGUGCACAUGCACACAAGCUAUUUCCGGUGCUCCUCCAACCCGGAAGUGCGCCAGAAAUAGCGUGUGUGCAUGCGUAUGGGUGCGCACUCCUCCACCCUCUGACUCGCCACGUGGUCGGCGCUGGAGACACCAGCCUCAGGCGCAGUAAGUUUGCUGACCCCUGGGCUAGGGUUUGCCUGUGUGAUUCUAUUGUCCUGUUCACACAUUUACUUUAAAGACAGUUCCCUUCAAAUAAACAUUUGCUGUGUGUUUAUAUAAACUGGGGGCUUGCGUUGUUGGGUGACUCAUCCAUAUCCUCUGGUAACAUAUGGGUAUAUUACCAUAUAAUCUUCAUAGCCGUAUAUCCCAUUUCCACUGCUACAGCUUUGCAAAGUCUAGUCCUGAUGUAAGGUUUAGUCUGUCUCAUCCUGUUAUCGUGGAGCCAGUUUAUACGCUUUAUAAUCUGUAAAUGGUCACUUUAACCAAAAUGGCAAAAUGCGAUAUGCGCUAUUUAUUUAGUGCAGAUUUAUUGAGCUCACCAUCCAACACAUUUCUCUUCUGCAUGGUUUUUUUAAUAGUCUUUUGACCUUCUUAAUCAGUUACAGGAAACGGAGAGGUAUGGGCUGGUUUGCACUGUAGGUUUCUCUUCUCAUGGUCAUAGUAGCCACUGAACUUUCUUACGCUCUAAAUGCUACACAACAUGGGCACAUCCAUUUCAAGCAUGUUCAAUGCAUAUUUAAAGCCACAAAGAAUCCUGGGAAUUGUGGUUUGUUAAAGCUGCCCUGUGAGGGUGAAACCACAGUCCCCAGGAUUCUCUGGGGGAGAAUCAUGCUUUAAGUGCAUGAUGUUUUAAGUGCAUGGUGAGGAUCUGCCCUUUGAGUCUGGAACACUGGGAUGAAGGGCAUUUCAGGGGGAAAGUGAGUGGCAGGGCAAGGGUUAAGCAUUCCUUUAUCCACUGUCCUUGAUGCUCUUCUUCCCUCCCAAGAGCUCUUUGCAUGGGAGAAGUUGCCUCCGGGACUUUGUUGGGCACAGCUGUAGUGCUGUGCUCGGAUUGUUACUCAUAAUAAGUGGAGGAAAUGUAUUUGGACAAGAGCUGGGUAAGGCAGCCUUUGCCAGACUACAACUCUGUGCUGGCUGGUGCAAGUUGCAGGCUAAAGCAUUGGUUGGGGGAAGGCAGCAGUUUGGAAAAGGCUGAAUUUUAACAAGUAGAGUGGAAAAGAGUUGAGAGAUGCAACAGGAGUUGCAUCAUUAUUUAUUAUUAGAAUUUAUAUACCGCCCUAUACCCGGGGAAGGGGUGUCUCAGGGUGGUUCACAG